GCUAGGUCAUGGUGACUUCUCUGCCGCAAAUACAAAAGUGCUGAGAAUGGUUAAUACACUUGCAGUUGAUAAUGAGGCCAAACAAACUAUUGAGGCCUUACGAACUGAGUUGCAGAAGACCAAGGAGAAGUUGCAAGCUGUAGAAGAAUUGAAGAGUCAGUCAGGUAUCAAGCACAAGCAAUUUACCUUGAACAAUUAUUUUAUUUUCCAUUCCAAAUUUGUUUUCUUCAUUACAUUUCUGUUCUGAACCUUCCAAUACUUUUGAUCAUAUAGUUUCAUGAUGAUUAAUUGUUCAGGUGAUGCGGGCAAGCUGGUGGACUCCUAUAUCUCUGGGAAGAUAACACAAUUAAAAGAACAAAUUGCAACUCUUGAAAAACGUGAAGAAAGGCGAGUGAUGUUCACAAAGUACUUCGAAUUCUUGCAUUUUUAAACCAUUAUUCAAUUUUAUCAUAACCCAAAGCGUUUGAUUUUAUCCAUUGAACAGAUACAAGACUGUUUUUGCUGAUAGAAUCUCUGUGUUUCGAAGGGCAUGCUGUGAACUUUUUGGCUACAAGGUAUCAAAUGUUUCUCACUGCAUUUGCAGUUUGACACCUAUAUUGGAUUUACCAAUUUCAUUUAAAUUUGAUGGUAAUUGGGCCAUGGAAAGUGUCAUUCUUUCUGUUUCAAGCUCCAAUUGUGAUAGUUUAACCCUUCAUUGUCUGUUUUUAAAUAAAAAAAAAGGCAUAAAGCUUAGUUGCUAGGACAUUCCAAGGUACUAAGAUAUUCAUUGGAGGCAUAGGUUCCACUGACUCUUUCUCAGGUCAUUAUGAAUCAGUUAGGGAGCUGCUGUCUUUUACUUGAGUAUAAUUGGCUUUUGCUCUUCCUUUGCCCACAUCUUUUGCAGAUUGUAAUGGAUGAACACCAGCGUUCUAAUGGAAUUCCAGUUACUCGGUUUACCCUGCAAUCGGUCUACGCCCAAAGUGAUGAUGAGAAACUUGAGUUUGAAUAUGAAUCAGGGAAUACAAACAUUUUGGUAAGUUAGCAAAUUUAGGUUACAUAGAGGUGCCUGAUGUCCUUGAGAAAUUAUUCUACUGACAAUAAAACAUGCUAGUUGUGUCUUGGUGGCAUUCGAACUGGAAAAUGAUUUCCUGCAUAAAAAAACUUUUCCUUUGGUGGAAAAGGAGUGAAUAUUUUAAUUACAGUUUGUCAUCUUUUCUUUUUUCUGGGUUUGGGCAAUGGGAUGCAAAAUACUUUUUUGGUCCGUUGAUUUUAGUGAAGAAUUUUGAACUUUC
This 1271-nucleotide long non-coding RNA is filed under the name Populus tremula. Its description in RNAcentral is "long non-coding RNA (PTRE_LNC002079)". Lineage: Eukaryota; Viridiplantae; Streptophyta; Magnoliopsida; Malpighiales; Salicaceae. The record is from RNAcentral.